Molecule: ribosomal RNA, 478 nt
Filed under: uncultured bacterium
Lineage: Bacteria
Description: bacterial SSU rRNA
Rfam family: Bacterial small subunit ribosomal RNA
Source: RNAcentral
CGGCGUGCCUAACACAUGCAAGUCGAACGGAGAGCAUAUGAAGUAUUCGGUACGGAAUGCGUCUAGUGGCGAACGGGUGAGUAACACGUGGGCAACCUGCCCCAGACUGGGGGAUAACAUUGUGAAAACAGUGCUAAUACCGCAUGACAGGGUUCCGGGCAUCCGGGACUCUUGAAAAGGAGAAAUCCGGUCAGGGGAUGGGCCCCGCGUCCAAUUAGCUAGUUGGUGGGGUAACGGCCCACCAAGGCGACGAUUGGUAGCCGAACUGAGAGGUUGAUCGGCCACAUUGGGACUGAGACACGGCCCAGACUCCUACGGGAGGCAGCAGUGGGGAAUAUUGGGCAAUGGGCGAAAGCCCUGACCCAGCGACGCCGCGUGAAGGAUGAAGGUCUUCGGAUUGUAAACUUCUUUGAUCAGGGAAGAAAGAAAUGACGGUACCUGAAAAACAAGCCACGGCUAACUACGUGCCAGCCGCGGC